AGACGGUGAGUAACGCGUGGGAACGACCUUUUGCUACGGAAUAACUCAGGGAAACUUGUGCUAAUACCGUAUGUGCCUUCGGGGAAAGAUUAUCGGCAAAGGAUCGGCCCGCGUUGGAUUAGCUAGUUGGUGAGGUAAAGGCUCACCAAGGCGACGAUCCAUAGCUGGUCUGAGAGGAUGAUCAGCCACACUGGGACUGAGACACGGCCCAGACUCCUACGGGAGGCAGCAGAC
RNAcentral lists this ribosomal RNA (234 nucleotides) under uncultured Ochrobactrum sp. RNAcentral describes it as "partial 16S ribosomal RNA". It matches the Rfam family "Bacterial small subunit ribosomal RNA", at positions 100 to 354 of the family's 1533-position model. Lineage: Bacteria; Pseudomonadati; Pseudomonadota; Alphaproteobacteria; Hyphomicrobiales; Brucellaceae. The record is from RNAcentral.